This is a long non-coding RNA of Mastomys coucha (southern multimammate mouse), 514 nucleotides long. RefSeq lists it as uncharacterized. NCBI's taxonomy places the organism in Eukaryota, Metazoa, Chordata, Mammalia, Rodentia, Muridae. The record is from RefSeq and is a predicted model, not a curated record. The transcript has 2 exons.
AGCUUCCUCCAAGGUGUGCUUUCAGGAACUGACUACAGAAGUGGCUGCCCAGCACCUGGGCUAGAGAUCUACCUAAUCCAAAUCCAUCCAGGGUACCCAGAGGUACAAAGGGUACCGAGAGUGUGGGCUAAUACUCUGAAACAUCUGAGAAAUGCAGAGCAGAGCAUCUCCAUUGUAAGAGUUUGGCACCAAAGAGUCCAAAUAAAUUCAAAAGCUAUUUACUCUCACCACCAACACUUCCAUGAAGAAGGAGGGAGAAGAGCCAAUUGAUUCUUUAAACCUAAUUUCAGCUGUUAUAAAUGUUUGAAAGGUUUGCAAAGUGGUUUUCAAUAUUUCAUCACCCAUUUGUGUGAACAUGUUUUCUCUUUGAUGGGCCUCACCUUGAGCAGAGCUAGAGGAAGAAGGUGGAGCUGCAGAAAUGGUGAAUCUGGAGGGGCUGACCUCUCCAGGGUAGCCAGCAACACGAUCACAGCUCCACCCCAAAGUUUAUAGGUGGUCAGCAUUAAAUUCUUCC